CGUAGGUGGUCAAGUCGUUGUCCGGAUUUAUUGGGUUUAAAGGGUGCGUAGGCGGUUCAUUAAGUCAGUGGUGAAAUACGGCAGCUCAACUGUCGAGGUGCCAUUGAUACUGAUGAUCUUGAGUACACUUGAAGUGGGCGGAAUAUGUCAUGUAGAGGUGAAAUUCUUAGAGAUGACAUAGAACACCGAUUGCGAAGGCAGCUCACUAAAUUGUAACUGACGCUGAGGCACGAAAGCGUGGGGAUCAAACAGGAUUAGAUACCCUGGUAGUCCACGCCCUAAACGAUGAUUACUAGAUGUGUGCAAUAUACCGUACGCGUCACAGCUAAAGCGUUAAGUAAUCCACCUGGGGAGUACGGCCGCAAGGCUG
Molecule: ribosomal RNA, 370 nt
Filed under: uncultured organism
Description: bacterial SSU rRNA
Rfam family: Bacterial small subunit ribosomal RNA
Source: RNAcentral